Long non-coding RNA from Neofelis nebulosa (Clouded leopard), 1758 nucleotides. RefSeq lists it as uncharacterized. NCBI's taxonomy places the organism in Eukaryota, Metazoa, Chordata, Mammalia, Carnivora, Felidae. The record is from RefSeq and is a predicted model, not a curated record. The transcript is spliced from 2 exons.
CCCCGCCGCCUGUGUCGUAAAGACCCUUCCCUUCUCGCUGCCUGUCCCCUUGCCUUGCGGAGGACUUUGCCGGAUUUAGGGUUCGAGUCCUAAUGGCAGAUGUAGGGGUGUGAGAUCGUUCGCUCCACAGCGGACAGAGGGGGGGAAAACGUAAAUAAACCCAAAGGAGCCGGCGGCCCCAGGGGAGCCUGGGCCGUUUUAGAGUGGGGCAGCCCCUGUGGUCAGGUCAUUUUGUAGUUCUUGCACCAGGACGAGGCCGGGUUCAGAGACCCGCGGGCCGCCGUUCUCGUGCACGUGGUCGGAGCUCCUGCCUUCGGAUUCGGCUGAGGACACAAGCAUAGAAGACGCUCCACGGCUGAACGCUCCGGUUAAAGGGCACAUUGUGGUCUAAUUUGACUUGACUAACUCAGAGCUACGGUAAAAUCUCCAUAGGCAGGAAUUCUAGGAAUUGUUUUAAAUAUAUAUAUAUUUUUUUGCAGAUGGUUCUCCAGAGGACAUUUUAAAAACACACACACAUGGACUUUGGUGGCCAGUAGGAUUUGUCACUCAGUGAUCAAGACAGCUAACUCUAAGGCAGUGGUUCUCUAAGCGCGCUUCCCAGGCCAGCUGCGUCGACCUCACCUUUGAACUUGCAGAAAUGGAAAGUCACAGGACACACAGAAGACUGAAUUCCAAGGCAUCUAUGAGAAUUGCUUAGGACGGUGGUACUAAAACUUCAGUGUGCAUUAUUAGAAUCAUCCAAAGAGCCCCUCUAGGAAUGACAGGUCAGUAAGCCUCAGGUGAACCCUGGGAUCUAUGGCUUUAACAAGCUCACAGGUGAGUCUGAUGUAUACCAGAAUUUGAGAACAGCUGACUUAGGAUGUGUUAGGAUCCUGACAAAUACUACUUACCCCUCCCUUCAUGCUUCUUUUGUAAAGUUAUCCCCCUGUAUUUGUAAAUCAUGAUUUUGUUCACAUUUGGUACCCCAUGUCACGGAAAGAAGUGAGGAGACUGGGAGCUGAGAGUCUUGGAUUCCAUUCCUUGCUCUCGUUGAACCUGCCCAUCACCUUGAGCGGCUGACUCUCUUCUCAUUUCAGGGCUUCCGUUUUUUAGCUAGAUGAGGGAAAUCCUAUGUCUCCCCCUGAACCUGGUGAAAGGCCGUUGGUAGAUCGCUUGGAGUUCUUCAGGCAAGUUUAUACUAAAGUCAGGGCAGCUCAAGGUGGCUUUAGACACAACAGCAAGGACAAGAGCAGGCACAUCCCUCGAGUGCAGGUUUCCUCCGAGAUCACCUCCGAGCCUGUCUCCGCACUGGUGCUGAAUUAUCUCGACCAAAGUUCACAAAUAGUAUGACAGUCUCUAGUCUCUCUCACUUCAAAAGAAUAGGCAACAGGCAAUAGGGAAGACUGUAGGGUGCCCUUGGCCAAACAAGAAUUGGGGUUAUUUCUCAGGACUCAAUAACCUUGUGUGAAAAUUCAGGACGGUGGGUGAAAGAGCAAAGGAGGGGUAAGAACUCAGGCAGCCCGACAGCUGGCCACUGCCUUGUGUCUAGAGAUCAUGUUUAAGGGACUUCUCAGCCAAUAAGCUAGAAGGAGUCUCUUGGUAGUUUUGAUCGAACAGCUUCUAUACUUCGGGUCUGCUAAGAAUUCUGGCCACUCCGUGUUCUAUUUUAAAGUUUCCUUAGCUUAUUUAAAACAUUGCAUAAAUAGCCUUACUGGGUUUUAUGUAGAAGCGUAUUAAUGACCACACAACUUUUUAACUAAUAAAUGCCCUAAAAUUUUA